UCUAAUAUGGCAGAAUAGUGCAAUAAAUUUAAGAUUUAUAUAUAAAGUUUAAUCUUUUAUUAGAA
This 65-nucleotide transfer RNA is filed under the name Idiostolus sp. RNAcentral describes it as "tRNA-Leu". It matches the Rfam family "tRNA". From Rfam's summary of the family: Transfer RNA (tRNA) molecules are approximately 80 nucleotides in length. Their secondary structure includes four short double-helical elements and three loops (D, anti-codon, and T loops). The record is from RNAcentral. Lineage: Eukaryota; Metazoa; Arthropoda; Insecta; Hemiptera; Idiostolidae.